This 91-nucleotide transfer RNA is filed under the name Erysiphe necator (grape powdery mildew). It matches the Rfam family "tRNA". From Rfam's summary of the family: Transfer RNA (tRNA) molecules are approximately 80 nucleotides in length. Their secondary structure includes four short double-helical elements and three loops (D, anti-codon, and T loops). Lineage: Eukaryota; Fungi; Ascomycota; Leotiomycetes; Helotiales; Erysiphaceae. The record is from Rfam by way of RNAcentral.
GACACUUUGGCGGAGUGGUUAACGCGAUGCCCUGCUAUAUGUAGCAUAGGCAUUUCCCUCGGGAGCGUGUGUUCGAAUCACACAGGUGUCG